Molecule: ribosomal RNA, 252 nt
Filed under: uncultured bacterium
Lineage: Bacteria
Description: partial 16S ribosomal RNA
Rfam family: Bacterial small subunit ribosomal RNA
Source: RNAcentral
UACGUAGGGGGCUAGCGUUGUCCGGAUUUAUUGGGCGUAAAGAGCGUGUAGGCGGCUUGGUAGGUCUCGCGUCAAAACCUGAGGCUCAACCUCAGUUCGCGUGGGAAACCACCUAGCUAGAGUCCGGAAGAGGAGAACGGAAUUCCCAGUGUAGCGGUGAAAUGCGCAGAUAUUGGGAAGAACACCAGUGGCGAAGGCGGUUCUCUGGGACGGUACUGACGCUGAGACGCGAAAGCGUGGGGAGCGAACAGG